Molecule: regulatory RNA element, 35 nt
Organism: Aquimarina sp.
Lineage: Bacteria; Pseudomonadati; Bacteroidota; Flavobacteriia; Flavobacteriales; Flavobacteriaceae
Rfam family: DUF805b RNA
About the family: Bacteroidetes, Chlorobi (1 example), Proteobacteria. Lineage (Flavobacteria)
Source: Rfam
UUUGGGGAAACCGAAAACCAUAAAUAGAGUAGGUA